RNAcentral lists this ribosomal RNA (521 nucleotides) under uncultured bacterium. RNAcentral's name for it is "bacterial SSU rRNA". It matches the Rfam family "Bacterial small subunit ribosomal RNA", at positions 777 to 1296 of the family's 1533-position model. The record is from RNAcentral.
AAUAGAUACCCGGGUAGUCCACGCCGUAAACGAUGAGUGCUAAGUGUUGGAGGGUUUCCGCCCGUUCAGUGCUGCAGCUAACGCAUUAAGCACUCCGCCUGGGGAGUACGGUCGCAAGACUGAAACUCAAAGGAAUUGACGGGGGCCCGCACAAGCGGUGGAGCAUGUGGUUUAAUUCGAAGCAACGCGAAGAACCUUACCAGGUCUUGACAUCUCCUGACCGCCCUGGAGACAGGGUCUUCCCUUCGGGGACAGGAUGACAGGUGGUGCAUGGUUGUCGUCAGCUCGUGUCGUGAGAUGUUGGGUUAAGUCCCGCAACGAGCGCAACCCUUGGUUCUAGUUGCCAGCAUUCAGUUGGGCACUCUAGAGCGACUGCCGGCGACAAGUCGGAGGAAGGUGGGGAUGACGUCAAAUCAUCAUGCCCCUUAUGACCUGGGCUACACACGUGCUACAAUGGAUGGUACAAAGGGCAGCGAAGCAGCGACGCAUAAGCGAAUCCCAGAAAACCAUUCUCAGUUCGG